CAAAACCUCAUCCAAAGCCUCCAGUGCAUCCCCAUCCACCUUAUGUCCCAAAACCACCAGUUGUGCCAGUUACACCACCAUAUGUUCCAAAACCACCAAUUGUGAACCCUCCCUAUGUCCCAAAACCGCCUGUUGUGCCAGUUACACCACCUUAUAUCCCUAAACCACCAGUUGUGACACCACCAUAUGUCCCUAAACCACCAGUGGUGCCAGUUACACCACCAUAUGUCCCUAAACCACCAGUGGUGCCAGUUACACCACCUUAUGUGCCAAAACCACCCAUUGUGAAACCACCAAUUGUUUAUCCACCAGUUGUGCCAAAACCACCAAUUGUUACACCACCUUAUGUGCCAAAACCACCCAUUGUGAAACCACCAAUUGUUUAUCCACCAGUUGUGCCAAAACCACCAAUUGUUACACCACCUUAUGUGCCAAAACCACCCAUUGUGAAACCACCAAUUGUUUAUCCACCAGUUGUGCCAACACCACCUAUUGUGUAUCCACCUGUUGUACCAACUCCAC
RNAcentral lists this long non-coding RNA (522 nucleotides) under Glycine max (soybean). Its description in RNAcentral is "long non-coding RNA (GMAX_LNC002768)". Lineage: Eukaryota; Viridiplantae; Streptophyta; Magnoliopsida; Fabales; Fabaceae. The record is from RNAcentral.